Long non-coding RNA from Alligator sinensis (Chinese alligator), 668 nucleotides. RefSeq lists it as uncharacterized. NCBI's taxonomy places the organism in Eukaryota, Metazoa, Chordata, Crocodylia, Alligatoridae. The record is from RefSeq and is a predicted model, not a curated record. The transcript has 4 exons.
AGAUCCACAGAAACUGCAUCACUGGAAUGAGUGUUGGACUGCAAUAAAAAAAAAAAAUAUCAUCGCGCCUGGCACAGAUGUGCAAAUAAUGAAGGGACCCUACUGCUACUUGGAGAAGGAAAUAUAAAAUGAUUGAAUGUACGUGUCAAAGAAGUAGUGGAGAGUUCAGAUAAACAUUUUGAAUUAAUACACAAGCCAAAGGGAUGAGCCAAUGGAGCAGUUUUCUCCAGAUUCUUGUAAGAGAAAUUCACCUUGAUGGAUUGCAUCAAAAGUUACUGACCACGUACUCUUGUGUUGGGGGACAGGCUGAGAUGCAGGCUUACCUUUCAGCAUCUGGCCAAAAUCACAGCAUAAAUUAAGGCAGUCCAAAGAGGUACUAUUGCAGGGGAAAAAAAGCCUCCCAAAUGGCAGCUCAACCUGCAAUGUCAAGCUACUUCCUGGAUGCUGCCUCUGGGUCCCUAAUCCCCUGCUCUGUGGGACAAAGUAAGGAAAAGGAGCUGAUGGAAUGUGUCUCCCUUCAUGUAGAGCGAUGGGAUAACGAAGGAUAGCUGUAGGGGAGCUCUCAUGAUGGAUGAGAAACGAGUGGUCCUUGGUUCUGUCACCAGAGGGAGACUCGGGGAUCAAGAUUCAUUUCUGUGGUCUGCCAUAGAUUUCCUACUUGAGCUCAG